This 274-nucleotide ribosomal RNA is filed under the name uncultured bacterium. RNAcentral describes it as "partial 16S ribosomal RNA". It matches the Rfam family "Archaeal small subunit ribosomal RNA", at positions 473 to 747 of the family's 1478-position model. The record is from RNAcentral.
AAACCAGCACCUCAAGUGGUCAGGAUGAUUAUUGGGCCUAAAGCAUCCGUAGCCGGCUCUGUAAGUUUUCGGUUAAAUCUGUACGCUCAACGUACGGGCUGCUGGGAAUACUGCAGGGCUAGGGAGUGGGAGAGAUAGACGGUACUCGGGAGGAAGUGGUAAAAUGCUUUGAUCUCUCGAUGACCACCUGUGGCGAAGGCGGUCUACCAGAACACGUCCGACGGUGAGGGAUGAAAGCUGGGGGAGCAAACCGGAUUAGAAACCCCGGUAGUCC